AAACAUCCUGGGCAGGGACACAGUUUUCUUAGGGUGAAGCUCAACCCUCACACUCCAAGAGUGGUAAGUCCUACAAUUUCUCCAAACGUGGGAAACUUGACUGCAUCAUUUGCAGCAGUAGAGAGCUGUCUUUGCACUCUCCCAG
This 145-nucleotide small nuclear RNA is filed under the name Struthio camelus australis. Its description in RNAcentral is "U1 spliceosomal RNA (ENSSCUG00000012880.1)". It matches the Rfam family "U1 spliceosomal RNA". From Rfam's summary of the family: U1 is a small nuclear RNA (snRNA) component of the spliceosome (involved in pre-mRNA splicing). Its 5' end forms complementary base pairs with the 5' splice junction, thus defining the 5' donor site of an intron. The record is from RNAcentral. Lineage: Eukaryota; Metazoa; Chordata; Aves; Struthioniformes; Struthionidae.